Molecule: ribosomal RNA, 293 nt
Filed under: uncultured bacterium
Lineage: Bacteria
Description: partial 16S ribosomal RNA
Rfam family: Bacterial small subunit ribosomal RNA
Source: RNAcentral
GGAUUAGAUACCCUGGUAGUCCACGCCGUAAACGAUGUCGACUAGCCGUUGGGGUCCUUGAGGCCUUAGUGGCGCAGCUAACGCGAUAAGUCGACCGCCUGGGGAGUACGGCCGCAAGGUUAAAACUCAAAUGAAUUGACGGGGGCCCGCACAAGCGGUGGAGCAUGUGGUUUAAUUCGAAGCAACGCGAAGAACCUUACCAGGUCUUGACAUCCAGAAAACUUAGCAGAGAUGCUUUGGUGCCUUCGGGAAUUCUGAGACAGGUGCUGCAUGGCUGUCGUCAGCUCGUGCCG